GAAUUUUGGACAAUGGGCGAAAGCCUGAUCCAGCAAUGCCGCGUGCAGGAUGAAGGCCUUCGGGUUGUAAACUGCCUUUGUACGGAACGAAAAGCUUUUGGCUAAUACCCUGCAGUCAUUCCGGUACCGUACGAAUAAUCACCGGCUAACUACGUGCCAGCAGCCGCGGUAAUACGUAGGGUGCAAGCGUUAAUCGGAAUUACUGGGCGUAAAGCGGGCGCAGGAGGUUUUGUAAGACAGAGGUGAAAUCCCCGGGCUCAACCUGGGAACUGCCUUGGUGACUGCAAGGCUAGAGUACGGCAGAGGGGGGUGGAAUUCCGCGUGUAGCAGUGAAAUGCGUAGAUAUGCGGAGGAACACCGAUGGCGAAGGCAACCCCCUGGGCCUGUACUGACGCUCAUGCACGAAAGCGUGGGGAGCAAACA
Molecule: ribosomal RNA, 423 nt
Filed under: uncultured bacterium
Lineage: Bacteria
Description: partial 16S ribosomal RNA
Rfam family: Bacterial small subunit ribosomal RNA
Source: RNAcentral